This 497-nucleotide ribosomal RNA is filed under the name uncultured bacterium. RNAcentral's name for it is "bacterial SSU rRNA". It matches the Rfam family "Bacterial small subunit ribosomal RNA", at positions 28 to 513 of the family's 1533-position model. The record is from RNAcentral.
GAUGAACGCUAGCUACAGGCUUAACACAUGCAAGUCGCGGGGUAACAUCUGGUAGAGCUUGCUCUUCCAGGAUGACGACCGGCGCACGGGUGAGUAACGCGUAUCCAACCUGGCCCAUACCACGGGAUAGCCCGUCGAAAGGCGGAUUAAUACCGUAUGCUGUCAUUAAGAUGCAUAUAUUGAUGACGAAAGGACUGGCGGUAUGGGAUGGGGAUGCGUCUGAUUAGCUUGUUGGCGGGGUAACGGCCCACCAAGGCGACGAUCAGUAGGGGUUCUGAGAGGAAGGUCCCCCACAUUGGAACUGAGACACGGUCCAAACUCCUACGGGAGGCAGCAGUGAGGAAUAUUGGUCAAUGGGCGCAAGCCUGAACCAGCCAAGUAGCGUGAGGGAUGACUGCCCUACGGGUUGUAAACCUCUUUUGUUGGGAAUAAAGUGCGGGACGUGUCCCGCAUUGCAUGUACCAUUUGAAUAAGGACCGGCUAAUUCCGUGCCAGCA